This 429-nucleotide ribosomal RNA is filed under the name uncultured bacterium. RNAcentral's name for it is "bacterial SSU rRNA". It matches the Rfam family "Bacterial small subunit ribosomal RNA", at positions 29 to 444 of the family's 1533-position model. The record is from RNAcentral.
AACGAACGCUGGCGGCGCGCCUAAUACAUGCAAGUCGAGCGAGAAGGUGUAGCAAUACACUUGUAAAGCGGCGAACGGGUGAGGAAUACAUGGGUAACCUACCCUCGAGUGGGGAAUAACUAGCCGAAAGGUUAGCUAAUACCGCGUACGCUUCCGGGACUGCGGUUCCGGAAGGAAAGCGAUACUGUGAGUAUCGCGCUCUUGGAUCGGGCUCAUGUCCUAUCAGCUUGUUGGNGAGGUAACGGCUCACCAAGGCUUCGACGGGUAGCUGGUCUGAGAGGACGAUCAGCCACACUGGCACUGCGACACGGGCCAGACUCCGUACGGGAGGCAGCAGGUAACGGAAUAUUGCGCAAUGGACGACAGUCUGACGCAGCGACGCCGCGUGGGGGACGAAGGUCUUCGGAUUGUAAACCCCUUUCGGGAGGG